UCUUCAUAUUCAUUAUUUUAAUCUGCUUAAAAUAUAUAUGAAAAACUAAAAUGAAAAAAGUUUAACAGAUAUCUAACAGCUUUGAGUUUAGAUUUCCAAAUAUUUUUCUUUUCGAAAUGUUUUUUUUUCAAAUACACUUCAAAAAAUUUUCAAUUUUUAUAAUGUAAAACGUUUUAAAUAAGUUUAAACGGGUCUAAAUUUAGUAAUGUAAUUAUCAUAAUCUAAUAUGUAACUUUAUUAAAUAUUAAAAUAAAAUGGACAUGGACAGAGUUUGACUUUAGGAUGAGAUCUCAAAUGAGACGGGUGAGUAAGACGAGUUCACUUAUUUUCAUUUUUCUUACAAAUUUUUUGACAUUUAGUAAAACACUUUUGCAACACAAAAAUAUUAAAAACGCAGAUCAAAAUAUAGUUAUACUUUAUAAUGACAACUAAUCCUACUAAAACCAUUCUAGUUAAUGGACAAUUUUGUUUUGUCAAAAAACAAUCUGUACUUUUAUAUUAUAUCUCUUAAAUUUAGAAAUUUAAUUUAAAAUCAACGGUCAAUGUAUAUAGUGACUUAAUGCUCGGUGAUAAUAAAAUGUUGUCAAUUACUCUAUCUGUUUUUAUAAUAAAUGGCGUUUAACCUUUUUGCCAACAAAUUAAGAAAAAUUAAUAUUUUCUAUUUUCUUCUUUUUAAUAGAUUAUUUUGUUUGUUUUGUUAAUUAAUUAAUUAAAAAUAAAAUUUAAAAUUUAGAUAAUUAUUUAAUAUGUGUAUUGAAAAAAAUAAAAUGAUGAAAAAAAUUAAAAGUAAAACAACGUUUAAUAUGAAAGAUAAAAAGUAUGAUUUAUUAAGUUCUUAUCAGUUUUGUUUUUAGUUAAUUUCUAGAUAUUUUUCCUAUUUAGGUUGAUUGCUAAUGACUGUAGUUUUAAAUCUUUUGUUGUAAAAAAAUGCUUUAGAUUUUUUUUUUGUGGUUUUAGAUUUAUUGCUGUAGGAUUUUAUGGAAAAUCAUAUAAAUUGUUUUGUGUAUUUGGCUCUACAAACUAUUUGUACAGUUAAUAAAAAUUGACUUUAAUUAAAGCUUGAUUGUUGUGAUUUUAGUGUUCUAGAAAUAAAUAAGACUGUGGACAACAUCUACAUCAAUUACCAAUCACACAAUUACAUUUGUAUUUCAAGUAUCUAAUCUAAUUAAUAAAAAGUUGACUCUAAUUAAUUAAAAUAAAGAAAGUUGACUCUCCUUUUUCUAUUUUUAUUAGGUACUUUGUAUAUAUAUAUUCACAUCUUAUUUGUUCUGUAUUUACGAAUACAAAACAACUACAUCAGUUUUUUUUUCAUUCUUAUUGUAUCAUUUGAAAUGGCUAAAACCAGCAUUCUUGGUAUUUUCAUGAUUGUUCUUGUUUUAGGAACAGUGACGAUGGAGUCACAAGGACAAUGCCAUGACUAUAUUGUUGAAUUAGGAAUUUGUGAACGUAAACAGUGUGCUGCUGAGUGUACUGCCAAGUGGAAAGGAUCUGGCAGGUGUAUUGAAGAUACCAAUAACUGCCUCUGCACUUUCAAAUGUAAAACUUAAUAUUUGUUUGUGAUUGAUAUGAUCAUAAAAUAUAUUAUUUAAUAAAAAUGGAUUGAGAAAUUA
Molecule: long non-coding RNA, 1610 nt
Organism: Brassica napus (rape)
Lineage: Eukaryota; Viridiplantae; Streptophyta; Magnoliopsida; Brassicales; Brassicaceae
Exons: 2
Source: RefSeq, a predicted model, not a curated record